This is a long non-coding RNA of Leptonychotes weddellii (Weddell seal), 2823 nucleotides long. RefSeq lists it as uncharacterized. The record is from RefSeq and is a predicted model, not a curated record. NCBI's taxonomy places the organism in Eukaryota, Metazoa, Chordata, Mammalia, Carnivora, Phocidae.
CGCAUUCGCGAUAAGUACUAACGAAGUGCAGCCUGGGGAAUCCAGAGCUGAGGACAUAGACCGCCUGUUGCUGUGCACAUCACCAGCGCUGAGCUGCCCAAUGUGUCACAUUUUUCUGUCAGACCGUCUCUCCCCAGCAGAAUCCUUACCUCCCAAGCCUCCAGUCGUUCCACUGGGAUGGCUUUUGAAACCUGGAUUACGGGGAACUUUCCAGCCAUCUUGGUUUGUCCUGCUACUGAGUGGCUUCCUGCCUGGGGUGAUAUCAGGGAGAAGGGGGGGAGACCCCCCAGUCCCCACCUUUCUCCCCCAUUUAAAGGAAGAGGCAGCGUGGGGAAGGCCCUGCCCCUUGAGUGAGCUCUUUUUCCCAAGGCUUCCUGCCACACGGGCAGCAUGGGACAAAGGGCCGGCUUGCAGGUGGAAAGCACAAGGGGAACCAAAAGAAAGAGAACCAUAAUAAUGGCCUAUUCCUUACUCCCGCGCCUCGGGUGCCCCUGGCCCCACACAAGCCAGAGACACAGCCCUCAAUAGGCGCUGCAGUGACCCCCACCUCGCAAGCGAGGGAGCCGAGGCGCCGAGGGAGGGGAGCAGGAUUGGAACUCGGGCCAAGACAGCCCCAGAGUCCAGGUCCUAGAAUUGCAAGGAGCUGAAACAUGUGCCAGAAGUGCCAUCGCCAGCACUAACCCAGCUGCCAUCCCACUGGCGGUCCCUACGCGUCAUCUGACUCUUCCAGCAACUCCAGGAUGUGGCCACCACGAUGCCCACCUUGCAGAUGAGGAAACUGACUAGGGAGCCCCAAGGAGGCAGGAGCGGGGCUGCUCACUCGCCCCGAUUUCUGAAAUGGCUCGUGCUGGCUGUGGUGUGCCCUCCUCAGCCCUCCGGACCCGAGCUGCUUUAACCCGCUGACCUGCGACUCCCCGGGGCUGAGAUAAGCUGCAAGGCUGGCCCAGAACGCUCUCUCCUGAAUUUGCAUCCAGAGUUCUUUCUCCCACAUUCGAAAUGCAAGCGCUGCUGGACGACUGGAUCCCUCAGAGCCCUGGGAAUCCACGGGACUUACCCACCCAGUUCCAGCUAUGCCAGGGUCGGGGAACCAUAGGCUCUUGGGGUCUGGUCCUAGCCAGGACCUCAGUUUCCCCAUGUAUAAGAUAGACGUGCUCACUGUCAGACUGGAGAAUUGCUCUGGGUGUUGAUGCUUGUCUUGGGCCCCUGCUCCUUGGCUUCUCGUCUCAGAAAACAGCCUGGCCCUGCCCCAGACCCUUGCUAAGCCUCUGUCUCAGCAGGGACGGAGCAGCCCUGGACCAGGGGGUCAGCCACAAGUCCGAGCUCCGCUCCUGGUGCCUUCUCACUGCAGCCUGAGUGAGCGUGCCAGGUACCCCCCACGUAGGGGGCACUUGACAUCACCACCCCUCCUUUCCCUGCCUGGGCAGAGCAGGUCGCUUCUCCAGGCCCCAGGCUCUGGGCGGCUGCAAUGGCCGCUCCCCUCUGCCCAGCCUCGCACCAGGGCUGUGUGAAGCCAGGGCAACACGCCGGGUGGGAAAGAGCUUUGCAGAUGGAAAACUUGGCCCAUUGGGAAGAUUUAUUGCCGUGACGGUAAGUGUGUGGUCCAAAGGCCAUCGGGGCCUGACAGCCCCGACCCAGAAGGCCGUGCUGGAGCCCAGGCCCCUUUCCCUCCGUCAGUGAUGAAGGAGCAGAUGACCUUCUCCCCAGGGCCCUGACUUCUGGUGGUAUGCCAGCCAGGCCUGGGCUCUCUUUCAACCAACAUCUUGCCUCUUAUUUUGGCAUGUCUGUCGCCCGAGCAGGGCCCUGGUCAGCACCUCGAUGACCCAGGUUUGGGGAGGAUACACAGGCAGCCCAAACCCCUGGAUAAACCUGGAGAAGCAGGCCAAGCCCUCACUCCCUCUCAGCCCCCAAGGCCUGUCUCAUCUCCCUUUUCUCCUCUAACCUGCUAUCCAAGGGGGGCCUUGCCCUGCCUGUGGCCCCCGCCAGCUUCCCCCCCUCCCUCAUACCCCCUCCAUUUCCACCCUUGCCACCAGAGACCUUUGGAAAUCAAGGAUUCAGGCAGAUCUCUCCUGCUGGGUGCCUUCUGCCAAGUGUCCCGGCCAGUGUAGAGCCCCAAGGGGGCAACAGGGGCCAAAGGAGAGCAAGAGUGUCCCUGGGCUCUGUAGCCUGUGGACCCCUGGCCCGCUCGAGUGGCCUCCCACUGCUCCUGGGCCCUGGAUCCUGACCGAGAGGCACCCACACUCCUGCCCACAAGAGGCUGUCCCAGGUGCACACAGUACCUGCUCCCUUUCCCCUCUGCCUGGACCCCACCCCUUCCCUUGCACCUGACAUCUCCUCACCUACAUCAAGCCUCGCUCAGGGCCCUCUUGCCAUGCUGCCUCCAGUCUGUGUCAGGGGACCCUGUCUGUGUCCCUUCGGCAGGGUGAGCUCCUUAUGUCAGAGCUGCAGGUCUCUCUCGGGUCCGUGAGCGAGUGGGCAAAGGCGCAGCAGCCUCGUGGCUGGGGCUUGGAGCCCAGCUCUGUGCCUGCCUCCCGAAAUGCUUGUCUGAGCCCCAAACGGAUGGACGACCCUUGUCACCCUGCGCGUGGCCACCCCAGGCCAUUGGGAGUGCUGUGACCUCAGGCUCAGCCAGGCUGAGCUAUACUUAGACACCGGGGCCAGGGCAAGCUUCUGGGCCCGAGAAGGCAGCGGAGCCCACAGCAGGGCCCCAGGGGCACCUCCUCAUCUAGGGGGACGGUCCCCGUGUAAGAGGCCGUCACCCAGACCGGGCGCUGUUGGCUCCCACUGCCCCCAAAAAAGGCCAAGGAAAAAUUCUGUUUGAACAAA